GGUGCACGUAGCCAAGUGAUUAAGGCAUUGAAUUGUGGAUCCUCCCCGCGCGCGUCU
RNAcentral lists this transfer RNA (57 nucleotides) under Aneura pinguis. Its description in RNAcentral is "partial tRNA-His". Lineage: Eukaryota; Viridiplantae; Streptophyta; Jungermanniopsida; Metzgeriales; Aneuraceae. The record is from RNAcentral.